GGUUCUAUAGUGUAGCGGUUAGCACUUCGGAUUCUGAUUCCGGCAACCCCGGUUCGAGUCCGGGUAGGACCU
RNAcentral lists this transfer RNA (72 nucleotides) under Podospora anserina S mat+. Its description in RNAcentral is "tRNA-Gln (CTG) (tRNA-Gln-CTG-2-1, tRNA-Gln-CTG-2-2)". It matches the Rfam family "tRNA". Rfam says of the family: Transfer RNA (tRNA) molecules are approximately 80 nucleotides in length. Lineage: Eukaryota; Fungi; Ascomycota; Sordariomycetes; Sordariales; Podosporaceae. The record is from RNAcentral.